This 497-nucleotide ribosomal RNA is filed under the name uncultured bacterium. Its description in RNAcentral is "partial 16S ribosomal RNA". It matches the Rfam family "Bacterial small subunit ribosomal RNA", at positions 28 to 507 of the family's 1533-position model. The record is from RNAcentral.
GAUGAACGCUGGCGGCGUGCCUAAUACAUGCAAGUCGAACGAACAGACGAGGAGCUUGCUCCUCUGACUUUAGCGGCGGACGGGUGAGUAGCAGGUGGAUAACCUACCUAUAAGACUGGGAUAACUUCGGGAAGCAGGAGCUAAUACCGGGGAAUAUAUUGCACCACAAGGUUCCAAUGUUGAAGACGGUGUUGCUAUAAAUUCUAGAGGUAUACGCGCCACAUUAGCUAGUUGGUAAGGUAACGGCGUACACAGGCAACGAUGAGUACCGGACCUGAGAGGGUGAUCGGCCAGACUGGAAGUGAGACACGGCGCAGACUCCUACGGGAGGCAGCAGUAGGGAAUCCUACGGAAAGGGGGAAAGGCUGACGGAGCAACGUCGAGUGAGUGAUGAAGGUCUUCGGAUGGUAAAAUUCUGUUAUUAGGGAAGAACAAAUGUGUAAGUAACUAUGCACGUCUUGACGGUACCUAACCAGAAAGCCACGGCUAACUACGUG